RNAcentral lists this ribosomal RNA (506 nucleotides) under uncultured bacterium. RNAcentral's name for it is "partial 16S ribosomal RNA". It matches the Rfam family "Bacterial small subunit ribosomal RNA", at positions 29 to 523 of the family's 1533-position model. The record is from RNAcentral.
AGUGAACGCUGGCGGUAGGCCUAACACAUGCAAGUCGAACGGCAGCACAGGAGAGCUUGCUCUCUGGGUGGCGAGUGGCGGACGGGUGAGGAGUACAUCGGAAUCUACUCUGUCGUGGGGGAUAACGUAGGGAAACUUACGCUAAUACCGCAUACGACCUACGGGUGAAAGCAGGGGAUCUUCGGACCUUGCGCGAUUGAAUGAGCCGAUGUCGGAUUAGCUAGUUGGCGGGGUAAAGGCCCACCAAGGCGACGAUCCGUAGCUGGUCUGAACGGAUGAUCAGCCACACUGGAACUGAGACACGGUCCAGACUCCUACGGGAGGAAGCAGGGGGGAAUAUUGGACAAUGGGCGAAAGCCUGAUCCAGCCAUACCGCGUGGGUGAAGAAGGCCUUCGGGUUGUAAAGCCCUUUUGUUGGGAAAGAAGUCCAGCUGGCUAAUACCCGGUUGGGAUGACGGUACCCAAAGAAUAAGCACCGGCUAACUUCGUGCCAGCAGCCGCCGUAA